CCGAAUGGGGAAACCCAGUGUGAUUCGUCACACUAUCAUUAACUGAAUCCAUAGGUUAAUGAGGCGAACCGGGGGAACUGAAACAUCUAAGUACCCCGAGGAAAAGAAAUCAACCGAGAUUCCCCCAGUAGCGGCGAGCGAACGGGGAGGAGCCCAGAGCCUGAAUCAGCAUGUGUGUUAGUGGAAGCGUCUGGAAAGGCGCGCGAUACAGGGUGACAGCCCCGUACACAAAAGCGCAUGUGCUGUGAGCUCGAUGAGUAGGGCGGGACACGUGGUAUCCUGUCUGAAUAUGGGGGGACCAUCCUCCAAGGCUAAAUACUCCUGACUGACCGAUAGUGAACCAGUACCGUGAGGGAAAGGCGAAAAGAACCCCGGCGAGGGGAGUGAAAAAGAACCUGAAACCGUGUACGUACAAGCAGUGGGAGCACAGGUUUACCUGUGUGACUGCGUACCUUUUGUAUAAUGGGUCAGCGACUUAUAUUCUGUAGCAAGGUUAACCGAAUAGGGGAGCCGGAGGGAAACCGAGUCUUAAUUGGGCGUUAAGUUGCAGGGUAUAGACCCGAAACCCGGUGAUCUAGCCAUGGGCAGGUUGAAGGUUGGGUAACACUAACUGGAGGACCGAACCGACUAAUGUUGAAAAAUUAGCGGAUGACCUGUGGCUGGGGGUGAAAGGCCAAUCAAACCGGGAGAUAGCUGGUUCUCCCCGAAAGCUAUUUAGGUAGCGCCUCGUGAAUUCAUCUCCGGGGGUAGAGCACUGUUUCGGCUAGGGGGCCAUCCCGGCUUACCAACCCGAUGCAAACUGCGAAUACCGGAGAAUGUUAUCACGGGAGACACACGGCGGGUGCUAACGUCCGUCGUGAAGAGGGAAACAACCCAGACCGCCAGCUAAGGUCCCAAAGUCAUGGUUAAGUGGGAAACGAUGUGGGAAGGCCCAGACAGCCAGGAUGUUGGCUUAGAAGCAGCCAUCAUUUAAAGAAAGCGUAAUAGCUCACUGGUCGAGUCGGCCUGCGCGGAAGAUGUAACGGGGCUAAACCAUGCACCGAAGCUGCGGCAGCGANNUGCUGGAGGUAUCAGAAGUGCGAAUGCUGACAUAAGUAACGAUAAAGCGGGUGAAAAGCCCGCUCGCCGGAAGACCAAGGGUUCCUGUCCAACGUUAAUCGGGGCAGGGUGAGUCGACCCCUAAGGCGAGGCCGAAAGGCGUAGUCGAUGGGAAACGGGUUAAUAUUCCCGUACUUGGUGUUACUGCGAAGGGGGGACGGAGAAGGCUAUGUUGGCCGGGCGACGGUUGUCCCGGUUUAAGCGUGUAGGUGUGUGUUCCAGGUAAAUCCGGUUCACUUUAACACUGAGGCGUGANNNNNNNNNNNNNNNNNNNNNNNNNNNNNNNNNNNNNNNNNNNNNNNNNNNNNNNNNNNGGAGCUGAAGUCAGUCGAAGAUACCAGCUGGCUGCAACUGUUUAUUAAAAACACAGCACUGUGCAAACACGAAAGUGGACGUAUACGGUGUGACGCCUGCCCGGUGCCGGAAGGUUAAUUGAUGGGGUCAGCGCAAGCGAAGCUCCUGAUCGAAGCCCCGGUAAACGGCGGCCGUAACUAUAACGGUCCUAAGGUAGCGAAAUUCCUUGUCGGGUAAGUUCCGACCUGCACGAAUGGCGUAAUGAUGGCCAGGCUGUCUCCACCCGAGACUCAGUGAAAUUGAACUCGCUGUGAAGAUGCAGUGUACCCGCGGCAAGACGGAAAGACCCCGUGAACCUUUACUAUAGCUUGACACUGAACAUUGAGCCUUGAUGUGUAGGAUAGGUGGGAGGCUUUGAAGUGUGGACGCCAGUCUGCAUGGAGCCGACCUUGAAAUACCACCCUUUAAUGUUUGAUGUUCUAACGUGGACCCGUAAUCCGGGUUGCGGACAGUGUCUGGUGGGUAGUUUGACUGGGGCGGUCUCCUCCUAAAGAGUAACGGAGGAGCACGAAGGUUGGCUAAUCCUGGUCGGACAUCAGGAGGUUAGUGCAAUGGCAUAAGCCAGCUUGACUGCGAGCGUGACGGCGCGAGCAGGUGCGAAAGCAGGUCAUAGUGAUCCGGUGGUUCUGAAUGGAAGGGCCAUCGCUCAACGGAUAAAAGGUACUCCGGGGAUAACAGGCUGAUACCGCCCAAGAGUUCAUAUCGACGGCGGUGUUUGGCACCUCGAUGUCGGCUCAUCACAUCCUGGGGCUGAAGUAGGUCCCAAGGGUAUGGCUGUUCGCCAUUUAAAGUGGUACGCGAGCUGGGUUUAGAACGUCGUGAGACAGUUCGGUCCCUAUCUGCCGUGGGCGCUGGAGAACUGAGGGGGGCUGCUCCUAGUACGAGAGGACCGGAGUGGACGCAUCACUGGUGUUCGGGUUGUCAUGCCAAUGGCACUGCCCGGUAGCUAAAUGCGGAAGAGAUAAGUGCUGAAAGCAUCUAAGCACGAAACUUGCCCCGAGAUGAGUUCUCCCUGAGACUUAGAGUCUCCUGAAGGAACGUUGAAGACGACGACGUUGAUAGGCCGG
RNAcentral lists this ribosomal RNA (2519 nucleotides) under Salmonella enterica subsp. enterica serovar Typhimurium. RNAcentral's name for it is "partial 23S ribosomal RNA". It matches the Rfam family "Bacterial large subunit ribosomal RNA". The record is from RNAcentral. Lineage: Bacteria; Pseudomonadati; Pseudomonadota; Gammaproteobacteria; Enterobacterales; Enterobacteriaceae.